This 252-nucleotide ribosomal RNA is filed under the name uncultured bacterium. Its description in RNAcentral is "partial 16S ribosomal RNA". It matches the Rfam family "Bacterial small subunit ribosomal RNA", at positions 524 to 776 of the family's 1533-position model. The record is from RNAcentral.
UGCGUAGGUCCCGAGCGUUGUCCGGAUUUAUUGGGCGUAAAGCGAGCGCAGGUGGUUUAUUAAGUCUGGUGUAAAAGGCAGUGGCUCAACCAUUGUAUGCAUUGGAAACUGGUAGACUUGAGUGCAGAAGAGGAGAGUGGAACUCCAUGUGUAGCGGUGAAAUGCGUAGAUAUAUGGAAGAACACCAGUGGCGAAAGCGGCUCUCUGGUCUGUAACUGACGCUGAGGUUCGAAAGCGUGGGUAGCAAACAGG